RNAcentral lists this long non-coding RNA (1084 nucleotides) under Anas platyrhynchos platyrhynchos (common mallard). RNAcentral's name for it is "lncRNA (ENSAPLG00000016823.1)". The record is from RNAcentral. Lineage: Eukaryota; Metazoa; Chordata; Aves; Anseriformes; Anatidae.
AUUUGAACUCAUUAAGCCUUUGCUUUGUUAUUCUUGGUAUUUCAGAACAUGUGCUGUAAGUGUCUCUUGGUUCUUUCCAAUUCUGCUAUAUAAAACCCCUUAAAAUUAGGCAGGACUUGGCCAUAAUGCUCUUGAUCUCAGAUGUUGGGGCCAGAUUUUUCCCUGCCUGUCAAUCUGGAGUGAAUCUGCAGGCAAAGGGCUUUUUUCUUCAGCUUUGGAUGGUCCAAAAAAUGCUGAAAGGAUGAUAAGAAAGGUGGCAAGGAACAGCAGAAUGGGUGGGUUACAGCAAAAGGAAAUGUGCAACCUCAGGUUCCCAUUUGCUGUUCCAUACUAUUAAAAAAAAAUAAAAUUAAAAAGAAAAAAAAAAAAGAAAAAAAAAAAAAAGAAAGAGAAGAGUCUGGGUAGAUGGAUGGAUGGGGUGGGGAGGAAAAUGUCAGAGCAAGCCCCUGGCUAUUUCUCAUUUCAUUUCACUCAGUGGCAAUAUGUCAAGAACAGGGAGAAGAGAAGAAAAGGGAACAUUGAAAUUUGAGGGAGGGGGAGGAUGUGUGUGAAAAAUUCCAUAAAAUGUGGUUCUGUUUUAAACCCUGCUGCACAGAAACAACUUCAACAUUUUCAUGAGUUCUUCACCGCAUUUUUUAAUCCUUUCUGCAGAUGAUGCUCUUAAAGGAAACAAGCGAAGCCCAAAAUGGUGCAAACCCCUCUAAAGACUUGUGCUACCCAAGGUCUAACUCCAGAAAACCUUCUGGCAAGUAAAUGUGGGGAUCAACCUCAAUCUUGGUGUAACUCCACUGGCAGCACUGGCUCUGCACUACAGCAGAAGCUAUUCCCCUAAGAGGCAGUUCUUAUUUUAAGAAGAAAAGGAUACCGAAGCAAAAUGGGAAGCAGAAUCCAGUGAAUGGCUCCAUUCAUGAGGAUGGAAAACUUUCGGAUAAUGGUCUGUAUCCUCCAGAGGACAGGCUCCCAGAGCAGUAGAGUGCAAGAAAUGGGAAGCCUUCUUGCCACCUGUAGAAUGCUGGGCCAAGCAGAUCCAUUCAAUUUGCUGUCUUUAAAGUUGUGUGUCUGCAUCCUCCAACUGCUCUUUUAA